Pelobates cultripes (western spadefoot toad) is the source of this 290-nucleotide non-coding RNA. The record is from the annotation of a GenBank genome assembly. Lineage: Eukaryota; Metazoa; Chordata; Amphibia; Anura; Pelobatidae.
CUAUAUUAAACUUUUAAUCUUGAGUUGAAUUUGUAUGCAUGGCUAAAACUGACAGCAUUCUUUUUUAAUUGUUGCUGGAUAUUUUCUUUUGAGCUGGAAUUUAGUGAUGUCACAUGGGGAUCCAAUAUUGGGAAACAUAUAGUCGUCUUGUUUCUUUUUAUUUAGAUCAAGGUCAAAGUAGAUGUCCUUUAUCUUCUGUCAAUCUUACAAUGUAUUUAGCAUUGUUUAUCGGUGAUUUCUCUUUCUGCCAUUGUUUCUUAUCAAUCUCUUUUUUCUUAAAUGGAAUUUAA